This 329-nucleotide ribosomal RNA is filed under the name uncultured eukaryote. RNAcentral describes it as "partial 18S ribosomal RNA". It matches the Rfam family "Eukaryotic small subunit ribosomal RNA", at positions 1470 to 1796 of the family's 1831-position model. The record is from RNAcentral.
CCCUUAGAUGUUCUGGGCCGCACGCGCGCUACACUGAUGCAUUCAACGAGUCUGAAACCUGCUCUGAUAGGGGUGGGUAAUCUUUUGAAUGUGCAUCGUGAUUGGGAUAGAUGAUUGCAAUUUUUCAUCUUCAACGAGGAAUGCCUAGUAAACGCAAGUCAUCAGCUUGCAUUGAUUACGUCCCUGCCCUUUGUACACACCGCCCGUCGCUCCUACCGAUUGAAUGAUCCGAUGAAUAUCAUGGAUUGAGGAUGUAAGCAGGUUCGCCUGUCUUCAUCUUCGAGAAGUGAAGUAAAUCUUAUCAUUUAGAGGAAGGAGAAGUCGUAACA